GUUAAACUAAAUUGUUACACCUGGUAGAGCAGCUACACUGAUCAUUUUAUUACAGAUGAAAGAAUUUAGACAGUUUUCAAAUCUCUGUGAUGCGGCAGUGAUCCUUUGACUUUUUGGACCUGCAGCGGAGUUUGGGGUCCAGACACGUCUAAUGGCGUCAGACUUAAAGACUGGAUUGCUUUUGGACUCUGAGUUUUGAAGACUCACAUCUGCCGUGUUUUUGUUUGUUUUUUGGGGUUUUUUUUUUAAACCAGAGGCGACGAUAAUCGGGUCUAUUUCUUACCAGUUAUUUGCAUUGGCUUCAGCUCUAGAGGGUGCUGUUGGUGUCUGUGUGUGUGUGCCAGGCGAGACCCACCCAGAGAGAAAAGAACACCAUCAGCUGUUUGCUCAAAUUCCUAAAGGCCUAUUUAUUCAUGUUUAACAGAAGUGGACUUGCGGUUGAGCGAGUUAUGUACAUGUUAUUGUUGGUCACAGUUCAUUUUUGAGUCAGGCAAACACAUGCAUCAUCUAACAGCUCAAGCAGAUUGCGUUUUCUGGCUAGCUGCAAUGUGAGGCCCAUCUUGUCUAACAGUUUAAACUGAGGAAGGAAGAUGUUCUGCAGCCUGUUAGUUUAACCUGAGGGCCGUAAACUGAAUAAUAAAUUACAAAAGCUGCUGUCAGCCAAAUAAAACAUGUGAGAGAUUUGAUACUCCCAGCUGAAGUCAGCUUUGUUUCUACAAAAGCAGAAUGAAAUCCCAAGUCCAGCGUCUGGCUCGCAGUCUUUGAGCAUAUUGGUAACAAUCUGGACUGCCCGGCUUUACCAAGAACAGGACGACAGCAGUACCAAAGUGGGAUCUGCCGUUGCAUAACAAUCUGUGUUAUAGACUGAAAGAUAAUCAUACAAUUGAUCUGUUUUCUCUGUAAGACCUCAGCUCCAAAGGAAACAAAUCCGCUGCAGAUGUGAUCUAUAUACAAGAAAAUGUUAGAAACCAAAAGCCAUUAUAAUUUAAUCCCAACCACAAGCUUUUUCUUGACCUAAUCCAGGUUUUUAUUGGCAAAACACAGUAGCAACUACUGAUCAGUUAAAAUUAAAAUUGUAAAAUUGAAGGGAAGCUUCAGUUCUUCAGUUUGACUUGAAACUAGUGACUGACCCCAUGAAGCCACCAGAGAAAAGGAAGGUAGGCUUAUUUAGCCCUCCGUCCAAACAGAGGAGUCACCUUGUGUAGGUUUAAGAAACUUUGGACAAAUCCAUGUGUUAUGCUGUCUACAGUAACAAACAUGAGCAUGUGUAUUAUUAAAUCUGUUUUGAUUCAAAUAUGUCAUCUUCAUUAGAGUGUGUAGGGACCUGUCAAAAACUCAGAUUUAUAGACGUUUGAGAUUAACCUCUUGACGCUCUAAGAUUUCAAACCCCCCCAAAAAACAAAACACAGAAGAUCCUUUUGUGUGUACUGAGCCUAUGAAAACAGUUAUGUAACGCUUCGUGGGGAUCUGGAGGAGCUUUGGGAAGUCACAGUAAAUCUAUCCCACCCUGAUGAUGCCACAGUGAUGUCAUUAGGGUUAUUCUGGCACGUGUUGGGGAAGUGCAGUUUCGUAAUAGCUGUACGGAGUGGGCUGAGGAGGGUCUGAUGCAUUAGGUGGAGUGUGGGAUGUGGAGAUUUGGGAGCUUGGUACUACAAGCUAAUAAUCAGAUGUACUUUGUGAUGUAGUUUGAUUUUAGGAGAGUGGUCUAUCUGAAUCGAGGGUAACACAGUUUACAGGCGAACAAAGUGUUUCACGGUGUUUAGAUGUUGUGUGCAGUUGUUGCAUCAGGGUUGCCUGUGGGGCUGUUACAGCUUUAGGCAGACGUGGGAGCACUGUGAACUGAGUGAUUUAAUUUUGAACUUUUAGGAUUCUACAUCAUCAAACCUUCUUGGUUGUUUGUUCCCAAACUGCCACAGUCCCUUUCUCCUUUUUUGUUCAUUCUCAGUGCUUUCGUUCUCUGAUUUUAUGGCCUUUUCUUCUGGUUUCUGUCUAUAUAUGGAUAGUUAUGCGAGUUUGACAGAUGUAGGGUGGGAUGAAUAAACACUUCUCUGUGAAGGAAAAAAGAAAGAUGGAAAGAAAGAAGUAGGAAACAGUUUGCUGAGCUUGAGGGAUGAAUUUCGGGGGGACACAGGAGGGUGGGAUGGAGAUGUAAAAAAAGAAAAAAGAAAGAAAGGGGCAGAGAUCUAGAAUAUCUGAAAUGUUCCCGUGCCCCAUAUAGCCCCCCCAACCCUGUGGAAAUGUUUUCUCCACGGUCCCCCCACCCUCCACCAUCACCACGACCACAUUUAUCUCUCCCAAACCAAAGUUACGUAACCAGAUUGGGGUUCGGAGCCAGAAAUGUCCUUACAUAACCCCCCACUCUCUCACACUGCACUGUAGCAACACUGGAAAUAUUUAGUUCUGGUAGUAAUUGAAGGAUUUUAUUACAAUUUUAAUGAAAUCGAAUUCUUUAAAUCUCUUAAAAUCACUUCUCUUUGACAGUUUUUAGUAUUUAUGUUGCUCUUUAGUAAGACCAAAUCAACCAAUAGAGGUGAUUAACUCCGAGCAGCAAGUCCUGAGUGAUUCCACAUUUAUGUUGAACCAUGGAGACAAAUGUAAACAUGACCAGCUGGGAAUAAUUUACAGUACAGAUUUGAGGCAUGUCUGAUGGAGUCUUCCUCAUCUUCCUGAUGUUUGCAGUUUCGCCAUGUGCAAAUUUAGGCAGUUAGAUUUUUUUUUUUCAAACUUCUGUCUUUUGGGUGAGUGUUUCCAAAGAACAUUUACCAGGUUUACACCCCCUCAUCUGGUCAUUCGAGGGCACUAUGCUGCACAUUUAACAACUGAUGCUAAAGAGUUACGUAAUGAGUCAAAUUAUAAACACGACCUGGUGUCCAGCUGUUCCCAAACUUAAGACAGCUGCACUCCUUUCGGACAUCUGAAAAUCUUUCAUUGCAACUCUGAGGCUCAAACAAGUCAAAACUAAAGUAUUUCCUUUUUGUGUGUGUUUUUGUUCAUUAAUUUCGACCUUGUGGCGAUUUUCUUGUGGAGGUUGAAUAUCCAUUAAUAGCAGCUGAAAGCCACGCCUCCAGUUUGGUUCUCUCCCACAAACCAGUUGAACCGGUACUUGUGGACAUCUGUUUUACUAUGUAAUCUGUUAGGAAAAUUGGCAUGUUAUGAGUGGGGUUAAAGUUCAUGUCAUGUAACUCAGUGGUAAUAAAUCUUCCAACAAUGAGAAGCAGUGUUGUCUUGCGAGGUAAAGGAUUUGUGUUGCUCCUUCUGUGGUGAGCUCAUGAUCACUGGUAUAUUUUAAUGCUCGACACAUUUCAUUAUUAAACUAGCAGUAUCUGGCUCUGUGGGUGGUGGAUUAGCAGAUUAACAGCCCCGUAUAGCACUCAUACACACACAAUGACACACAUAUGUGCUUGCAAAUAAGUGCACAUUUGCUGUGAGAUUAAUUAAGGCUGCAGGCGACAGUGGUCAAUCCAGGUCCCUGUCAACGUACAAAGAUAAAGAGGAACAUGUUGUGGCAAUGUGUUG
Long non-coding RNA from Oreochromis niloticus (Nile tilapia), 3516 nucleotides. RefSeq lists it as uncharacterized. The transcript has 3 exons. Lineage: Eukaryota; Metazoa; Chordata; Actinopteri; Cichliformes; Cichlidae. The record is from RefSeq and is a predicted model, not a curated record.